GACGAACCGUGCAAACGUUAUUCGGAAUCACUGGGCAUAAAGGGCGCGUAGGCGGCUCCAAAAGUCAGGGGUGAAAUCCGGCAGCUUAACUGUCGCAGUGCCUUUGAUACUGUGGAGCUAGAGGGAGGUAGGGGUCUGUGGAACUUCCGGUGGAGCGGUGAAAUGCGUUGAUAUCGACAGGAACGCCGGUGGCGAAAGCGGACCGCUGGCCCUCUUCUGACGCUGAGGCGCGAAAGCCAGGGGAGCGAACGGG
Molecule: ribosomal RNA, 253 nt
Filed under: uncultured bacterium
Lineage: Bacteria
Description: partial 16S ribosomal RNA
Rfam family: Bacterial small subunit ribosomal RNA
Source: RNAcentral